GUGUCUUCUGUUUGCGAGUUAAAGAUCAACGUGGCGACAAAGUCUCAAGUUUCGUUGAUUAUUCUUACGGUGUACUUCUUGUCCGUCCGCCGAUAUCAUCGGACAGUGCUUAUAAAUUGCAAAUAAUCUUCGAAAACACGAUCCAGGUCUUUUUUUUUAUCAACGAUCUUUCGUUAUCUAGCUGAAAAAAAUAUCGUGAUUAAUUUAUCGUCAUAUUUAUUAUAUCUUUUCGAAAAUAAUUAAAGCCAAAUGGUAAAGUCGUCUAUAAUCAUUGAAAAGAAAAAAAAUAAUUUAAACAAUUAAAAAAAAAUUUAAUACUAAAAACAAAACAGAAAAAAAAGAAAAUUUUCUUUGGAGAAAUAAUAAAAAUCUAGAUUAAAUAAUAAAAUAGAAAAAUAAAAAAAGAACUAACGAACAAAAUAAGAAAUAUUAAUUCUAAAAGAGGUAUAGCAAACGAAAGAAUAAUUGUAAAUGACGGAGCGAUAUGAAUCGCCGGAAGUGAAGAUCGUAUUGUCUAAGGAAGAGAUUCAUAAGAGAUAUCAAGAUAUAUCCCUAAUUAUAUAUAAAGUAAUUAUUUAUUUACGACACACAAAUUUAUUGAUAAAAAAUAUUAUAUUUAAAUUGUAAUUAAAUACAGAAACAACAAUUUUUAAUAAUCUUCUUUCUAAAUUCAAAGACAUUUUAAUGUACAAAUUAUGUUUUAACAAUAUCUUGCAUAUAAUUACGUACAUUUCUCGAAGUUUUAAUUAAUUAAUUUUUGUGAUUUGUUUCAAAUCUUUGUAUUACAGGAACAGAGUAAGAGAGAAGUGAAUUAUUUAACUUUUGGAACGAGUCGUAGAACGAUGGAGUAUAGUAAUUACGGAAAUCAUCCCGUUAUUGUGCGGAGACCAACUGGCUCUUUGACAACUCACAACGAUGAAAACAUAUCUUCCCAAAUAUUAAGGAUAUAUCGAAAGCCUCGAGAUAGUUGUGCAAUAAAUUAGUUUAUGCCUCAAUUAUGGUUCUUAAUUUUAAAUUAAAUCGUCGAUUGUUUAUUUA
Molecule: long non-coding RNA, 1038 nt
Organism: Apis cerana (Asiatic honeybee)
Lineage: Eukaryota; Metazoa; Arthropoda; Insecta; Hymenoptera; Apidae
Source: RefSeq, a predicted model, not a curated record